AUGCUCGCCAAGGUGAGGCGCGAGGGCAAGAUUGCUAUCGCUACCGCGACGUCGGGCGUCGCUGCUUCUAUCAUGCCUGGCGGCAGGACUGCCCACUCGAGAUUCAAAAUCCCACUGAGUUGUGAUGAUGGAGCCUCGCGCAGCUUCACCAAGCAGAGUGGGACUGCCAAGCUGCUAAGGAUGGCCUCAUUGAUACUAUGGGACGAGGCCAGCAUGACUAAGCGACAAGCGGUUGAGGCAUUAGACAAUAGCAUGCGCGACAUCAUGGGAAUACGCGACCGACCCUUUGGAGGAAAGACUAUUGUUUUUGGCGGGGACUUUAGGCAGGUGCUUCCGGUCGUCAGAAGGGGGUCACGGGGCCAGAUAAUUGAUGCAAGCCUCUGA
This 384-nucleotide ribosomal RNA is filed under the name Triticum aestivum (bread wheat). RNAcentral's name for it is "partial small subunit ribosomal RNA". The record is from RNAcentral. Lineage: Eukaryota; Viridiplantae; Streptophyta; Magnoliopsida; Poales; Poaceae.